CAUUAACCCAAAUAAAAAUAUAUCAGUUAUCUUGGUCGCAUUAAGAAGAACUUUCUGGUUCUGCUCCGAUUGGAAGUCUAGUCAAAGAGCUUGAGGUCAUGAAUCAUCAAGCGGUUUGGACCUCACCUCGCCUCAUCCCUAAGCGCUUGGCUGAGAAGCGUUGUUAAAUUUUCCCAUGCAUUUUACCCAGCGGACACAAAACCUAAGCGAUCCAACUUGAGAGGCGGGGUGGAGGCAUGGCUGCCCUUUCCUUGAACUCCAUAUCCCUUCCUCCUCUCAAGUGCCGGAAACUUUCUUUCUGCUGUUCCUAUGCCAGUGCCAGCCUCAGGCCAAUCGCAGUCACCGGCAAUCCUCCUAGUUUUGUCUCCGCGCCAGGUCGUAGGAUAGUUGCUGUUGGUGAUUUACACGGGGAUCUUUCAAAAACACGAUGUGCUCUACAAAUGGCAGGAGUCUUGAGCUCUGAUGGCCAAGAUUUAUGGAUAGGAGGGGAAACAGUAGUAGUUCAACUGGGCGAUAUACUUGAUCGUGGUGAUGGUGAAAUUGCAAUCCUGUCCUUGCUGAGAUCACUUGAUGCUCAGGCAAAGUUAACUGGUGGUGCAGUCUUUCAGGUUAAUGGAAAUCAUGAAACAAUGAAUAUAGAGGGUGAUUUCAGAUAUGUUGAUCUAGGAGCAUUUGAUGAGUGUAUAGACUUUGUAGACUACUUGGAUGAAUAUGAAGGCAACUGGGAUGAUGCCUUUAUUGGUUGGAACAGCGCUACUAACCAGUGGAAAGAGAGAAGGAUAUCCGGUAGUCAUUGGACCCCUUGGAAUUUUGUAAAGAAGCAGCAGGGUGUUAUUGCUAGAUCUUCACUUUUGAGGCCGGGUGGUCCUUUGGCAUGUGAGCUUGCGCGCCAUGCUGUGGUUCUUAAAAUUGAUGAUUGGAUCUUUUGUCAUGGAGGCCUUCUUCCUCAUCAUGUUGCAUAUGGAAUUAAGAAGAUGAAUGAAGAAGUAUCAUUUUGGAUGAGAGACACAAGUGAAAGUACUGAUAAUUUUGCAUUUCCCUUCAUUGCCACCAGAGGUUAUGAUAGUGUUGUCUGGAACCGUUUGUACUCAAGAGAUUCAGAAGAUACAAAGUACCACAGUUUGCAGAUAUCCUCUAUACUGGAAGAGACAUUAGAAGCUUUAGGUGCAAAAGGUAUGGUAGUUGGACAUACUCCACAAUUUGGCGGUGUAAAUAGCAAAUAUAAUGAUAGAAUAUGGUGUAUUGAUGUGGGCAUGUCUAAGGGAGUCCUUGAUUCGAGACCAGAGGUUCUUGAGAUUGUAGAUAACGAAGCAAGAAUCAUAAGGAACAAAACUGACUUGUUUGAUGAGCUAGAAGUCACAAACUUUCUCUAGAAUUCUCCUUCUUUCAAAGAUCAUUCCUAACAAAGGAUCAUCUUGCAAAUAUGUAAUUGCUGUGGAUUCAUGCUUGUAAAAACAGAGAACCAAAAAGAUAAGGGCAAAGGAUGGAUGAACUAGGAGAGCAGCAGGAGGGGCUAGCAGGAUGUGUGUGGCAGUGACUGGCUAAAGAAGAGACCUACUUUUUGUUUAAUGGAAAUUAUGCCUAGUUUAUAUAGGACUCUAUGACAUUUUAUCAUGUUUACUCUAUAUGUCUUGAAAUAAUGUUAAGUAAGACAUGUGGACU
This is an RNA transcript of Zingiber officinale, 1662 nucleotides long. It is a transcript of the gene named shewanella-like protein phosphatase 1, with no coding region annotated. The transcript has 11 exons. The record is from RefSeq and is a predicted model, not a curated record. Lineage: Eukaryota; Viridiplantae; Streptophyta; Magnoliopsida; Zingiberales; Zingiberaceae.